RNAcentral lists this ribosomal RNA (253 nucleotides) under uncultured bacterium. RNAcentral describes it as "partial 16S ribosomal RNA". It matches the Rfam family "Bacterial small subunit ribosomal RNA", at positions 524 to 776 of the family's 1533-position model. The record is from RNAcentral.
UACGAAGGGGGCUAGCGUUGCUCGGAUUGACUGGGCGUAAAGGGCGCGUAGGCGGUUCGUACAGUCAGACGUGAAAUUCCUGGGCUCAACCUGGGGGCUGCGUUUGAUACGUGCGGACUUGAGUGCGGAAGAGGGUCGUGGAAUUCCCAGUGUAGAGGUGAAAUUCGUAGAUAUUGGGAAGAACACCGGUGGCGAAGGCGGCUACCUGGACAGAAACUGACGCUGAGGCACGAAAGCUAGGGGAGCAAACAGG